AUGAGCAAAGCUCGUCGUCUCAAGUCCAAAAAAUUACAGACAGGAAGUUACUGAGACUAAAUGAUGGCAGAUAUGUCCAAGGAAUAUUGUGAGGAUUUGAUCCAUUUAGGAAUUUUGUGAUGUAUGUGUGGAGAUGGCAACUAGUGGACAACACAACAGUACUGGAAUGGUGGUAAUACAGGCAAACAGUAACAUCAUAUUAGAAGUCUAGGAA
Molecule: long non-coding RNA, 214 nt
Filed under: Homo sapiens (human)
Lineage: Eukaryota; Metazoa; Chordata; Mammalia; Primates; Hominidae
Description: non-protein coding lnc-MAP1LC3B2-10:1
Source: RNAcentral